This 1310-nucleotide long non-coding RNA is filed under the name Zostera marina. RNAcentral describes it as "long non-coding RNA (ZMAR_LNC000630)". Lineage: Eukaryota; Viridiplantae; Streptophyta; Magnoliopsida; Alismatales; Zosteraceae. The record is from RNAcentral.
AACACUUAUUAUUUAAAUUAAAUAAAUCAUUAAAAUUAAAACAAAAUCUUCACAUUUCAUAAUUCUUAUUAAAUCAUGCAUUGAAAUUCUUAAAUAUCAAAAACACAACAUGAUAAAUUCUUAUUCAUACAUUGAAAUCAAAACUAAAAUAGUAGACACAUGCAUCUUCAUCAUAAACUAUAACAAAACCACCUUGAAAUCAAAACAUCAAACCAUUCAAAUAAACAUAAACCCAUGAUUAUAAACUAUAAAACAUCGAAAUCAAUAGAUACACAAAACAGUAGAUAAAUUCCAGCAACAUCUCAUUCCACAAAUAGAUAAACAAAAUUCCAGCAACAAACCAAAAUAAGAGAUACAUAGAAAAAGAAAUAAAGAGAUAAUAGGAAAAUGAGUGAAACAAAAACCAAAACCCAAAUAGUCAAACCAAAACCAAAUUAACAAAACCAUAUAUUACUUAAACAAAUAAUUAACAACACAAAUUAUAUAUACAAUUAAAAACAGUAAGUGAAUAUAGAAGAUUAAAAACACAAAUGUUCAAAUUAACAUGCGAUAUUGAAUAAGUGAUACAAAAAUGAAUAUAAAAUGAAUAAGAAAUAAGACAUUGAAUAAUUGAGAUUAAAACAUAAAUGAAAAGAUUCAAAUAAAAUAUAGAUAGAACAAUCCUCAUUGAUUAAAACAAAAUAAAUCAACACAUUUACAAUCCUCAAUCCUCAAAUAUAGAUAAACCAUUAACAAUCCUCAAACACAAUUUCAACAAUGCAAAAGAUAGAUAAACAGUAGAUAAACUACAUCAAAUAGAAACACAAUCAACAUCAUGAACAAUAAGGAGAUGAAAACGAUAAGGAGAUGAACAAAUACAAAAACAUAAGGAGAUGAAAAACACCAUUAACAUCAAAUAUAAACACCAUUAACAUCAAAUAUAAACACCAUUCACAUCAAAUAAAAAAACCAAUAAAUAUAAACAUAAGAUGAAAAAUAAUUAAUAGAAAAAAAUUAGAUGAAGAAAUCACCGGAAAGGGGGAAAGAUUUGCUGUGAACGAUUAGGGGAAGGGAUGACCGGAAAGGGGGAGCGAUCACCGGAGGACGGAGGAAGGAACGACGGCGCGACGACCGGCAGAGCGAGCGGCAGCAACCGACAGGAGCGGACGACGGCGACAAAGGUGAUCCGGCGGUAGUCGACUGUAAUUUGGAAAGAAGAUAUGAAGGUGCGUGUUCUGUCUGGAAUUUGGGGUUUUUAAUAAACCCCAAAACUUACAUGGUGGAUUUCCGCCAUGUAAGUACACUUAAGUGCCGCCAGCACUUAAGUGAAA